ACCCCGGUAGCUCACCUGGACAGAGCGCAAGAUUCCUAAUCUUGAGGUAGGAGGUUCGAGUCCUCUCCGGGGUACCA
Molecule: transfer RNA, 77 nt
Filed under: Verrucomicrobiota bacterium
Lineage: Bacteria; Pseudomonadati; Verrucomicrobiota
Description: Verrucomicrobia bacterium (marine metagenome) tRNA-Arg
Rfam family: tRNA
About the family: Transfer RNA (tRNA) molecules are approximately 80 nucleotides in length.
Source: RNAcentral